RNAcentral lists this small RNA (777 nucleotides) under Pongo abelii (Sumatran orangutan). RNAcentral's name for it is "processed transcript". Lineage: Eukaryota; Metazoa; Chordata; Mammalia; Primates; Hominidae. The record is from RNAcentral.
GGCGAGGCCUGGGCGGCCUGAGGAGCGCGGACCCCGGCGCUCGGCUCCCGGCGCCAUGUGAGGGGGCUCGGGGGCCGCGGGGGGCCGGGCGCUCCCCGCCGGAGGUGUGAACCCACGUCCCUGCCCCCAGGGCCACCUGCAGGACGCGGACACCUACCCCUCAGCAGACGCCGGAGAGAAAUGAGUAGCAACAAACUCCAACAGUGCCAGUGAGGUCUUCCAUUACGGCUCCCUGCGGGGCCGUAGCCGCCGACCUGUCAACCUCAAGAAGUGGAGCAUCACUGACGGCUAUGUCCCCAUUCUCGGCAACAAGACGCUGCCUUCUCGGUGCCACCAGUGUGUGAUUGUCAGCAGCUCCAGCCACCUGCUGGGCACCAAGCUGGGCCCUGAGAUCGAGCGGGCUGAGUGUACAAUCCGCAUGAAUGAUGCACCUACCACUGGCUACUCAGCUGAUGUGGGCAACAAGACCACCUACCGCGUCGUGGCCCAUUCCAGUGUGUUCCGAGUGCUGAGGAGGCCCCAGGAGUUUGUCAACCGGACCCCUGAAACCGUGUUCAUCUUCUGGGGGCCCCCAAGCAAGAUGCAGAAGCCCCAGGGCAGCCUCGUGCGUGUGAUCCAGCGGGCGGGCCUGGUGUUCCCCAACAUGGAAGCAUAUGCCGUCUCUCCCGGCCGCAUGCGGCAAUUUGACGACCUCUUCCGGGGUGAGACGGGCAAGGACAGGGAGAAGUCUCAUUCGUGGUUGAGCACAGGCUGGUUUACCAUGGUGAUCGCGGUGGA